UUGAACGCUGGCGGCAGGCCUAACACAUGCAAGUCGAGCGGAUGAAGGGAGCUUGCUCCUGGAUUCAGCGGCGGACGGGUGAGUAAUGACUAGGAAUCUGCCUGGUAGUGGGGGAUAACGUCCGGAAACGGGCGCUAAUACCGCAUACGUCCUGAGGGAGAAAGUGGGGGAUCUUCGGACCUCACGCUAUCAGAUGAGCCUAGGUCGGAUUAGCUAGUUGGUGGGGUAAAGGCCUACCAAGGCGACGAUCCGUAACUGGUCUGAUAGGAUGAUCAGUCACACUGGAACGGAGACACGGUCCAGACUCCUACGGGAGGCAGCAGUGGGGAAUAUUGGACAAUGGGCGAAAGCCUGAUCCAGCCAUGCCGCGUGUGUGAAGAAGGUCUUCGGAUUGUAAAGCACUUUAAGUUGGGAGGAAGGGCAGUAAGUUAAUACCUUGCUGUUUUGACGUUACCAACAGAAUAAGCACCGGCUAACUUCGUG
Molecule: ribosomal RNA, 483 nt
Filed under: uncultured bacterium
Lineage: Bacteria
Description: partial 16S ribosomal RNA
Rfam family: Bacterial small subunit ribosomal RNA
Source: RNAcentral